RNAcentral lists this ribosomal RNA (422 nucleotides) under Caiophora dederichiorum. RNAcentral's name for it is "eukaryotic LSU rRNA". The stretch from base 131 to 286 matches the Rfam family "5.8S ribosomal RNA". Lineage: Eukaryota; Viridiplantae; Streptophyta; Magnoliopsida; Cornales; Loasaceae. The record is from RNAcentral.
GGGGGCGAGGCCGCGAAACAGCAACGAAACCCCGGCGCAUACCGCGCCAAGGAAAACGAACGGACGCGGACCCGGCGCGCCCCGUCCGCGGGCAGCGCGCCGGGCCGGCUUCGGAAAGUCGAAACUUAACGACUCUCGGCAACGGAUAUCUCGGCUCUCGCAUCGAUGAAGAACGUAGCGAAAUGCGAUACUUGGUGUGAAUUGCAGAAUCCCGUGAACCAUCGAGUCUUUGAACGCAAGUUGCGCCCGAAGCCAUUAGGCCGAGGGCACGUCUGCCUGGGCGUCACGCAACGCGUCGUCCCCUCCUCAUCCGUCAGCGGUGCGUUGGGGGCGGAGGAUGGCCCCCCGCGUCCCUCCGGGAACGCGGCCGGCCGAAAUUCGGAAUCGCCCCGACGGCGGGUCGUCGCGACAGGUGGUGGCGU